RNAcentral lists this long non-coding RNA (329 nucleotides) under Lotus japonicus. RNAcentral's name for it is "long non-coding RNA (LJAP_LNC002056)". The record is from RNAcentral. Lineage: Eukaryota; Viridiplantae; Streptophyta; Magnoliopsida; Fabales; Fabaceae.
CAAACAACGACAACCCCGCUCCCAAGCAAGUCGGAGGCCAUCCCGCAAGAAAAGCACUGUCGGCAAGCCCCUGAGACAUAAAACCAGCGAGUCACCUUCCCGAGCUAUCCUGCAUGACUCCACCACCACCCAUCAGACCUUCGCCUACUAUAUACUUGCCAUCAACGUUCAACUUUAAGAACUUUGUCGGCGAUGGCCUCCAGGCCAUGUUCAACCACUCAUUUUUUUCGUGCAUCAUAUCAGGUUGAAGAAACCUGAGUAUAUCGUCGUGUUUGUGAGCGACCUUCCGCCACACAGUCCACAGAGAACCAUCCAGGACCAUGUUGCAG